Molecule: non-coding RNA, 87 nt
Filed under: Lysobacter antibioticus
Lineage: Bacteria; Pseudomonadati; Pseudomonadota; Gammaproteobacteria; Lysobacterales; Lysobacteraceae
Description: c-di-GMP sequence
Rfam family: c-di-GMP-I riboswitch aptamer
About the family: GEMM was predicted in a large-scale screen for bacterial structured RNA regulatory elements.
Source: RNAcentral
CUCGAAAAAGGCACAACCGGCGCGAGCCGGUGUCGCAAAGCUACGGAUGCCAGGCCGUCCAGGUCAGGCAUGGCCGAGCUACCGAGC